This 590-nucleotide ribosomal RNA is filed under the name uncultured bacterium. RNAcentral describes it as "partial 16S ribosomal RNA". It matches the Rfam family "Bacterial small subunit ribosomal RNA", at positions 355 to 1375 of the family's 1533-position model. The record is from RNAcentral.
UGGGGAAUUUUGGACAAUGGGCGAAAGCCUGAUCCAGCAAUGCCGCGUGUGUGAAGAAGGCCUUCGGGUUGUAAAGCACUUUUGUCCGGAAAGAAAUCCUUGGCUCUAAUACAGUCGGGGGAUGACGGUACCGGAAGAAUAAGCACCGGCUAACUACGUGCCAGCAGCCGCGGUAAUACGUAGGGUGCAAGCGUUAAUCGGAAUUACUGGGCGUAAAGCGUGCGCAGGCGGUUUGCUAAGACCGAUGUGAAAUCCCCGGGCUCAACCUGGGAACUGCAUUGGUGACUGGCAGGCUAGAGUAUGGCAGAAGGGGGUAGAAUUCCACGUGUAGCAGUGAAAAUGCGUAGAGAUGUGGAGGAAUACCGAUGGCGAAAGGCAGCCCCCUGGGCCAAUACUGACGCUCAUGCACGAAAAGCGUGGGGAGCAAAACAGGAUUAGAUACCCUGGUAGUCCACGCCCUAAAACGAUGUCAACUAGUUGUUGGGGAUUCAUUUCCUUAGUAACGUAGCUAACGCGUGAAGUUGACCGCCUGGGGAGUACGGUCGCAAGAUUAAAACUCAAAGGAAUUGACGGGGUCAUAGCUGUUUCCU